This 497-nucleotide ribosomal RNA is filed under the name uncultured bacterium. Its description in RNAcentral is "partial 16S ribosomal RNA". It matches the Rfam family "Bacterial small subunit ribosomal RNA", at positions 28 to 507 of the family's 1533-position model. The record is from RNAcentral.
GAUGAACGCUGGCGGCGUGCCUAAUACAUGCAAGUCGAGCGAACGGACGAGAAGCUUGCUUCUCUGAUGUUAGCGGCGGACGGGUGAGUAACACGUGGAUAACCUACCUAUAAGACUGGGAUAACUUCGGGAAACCGUAGCUAGUACCGGAUAAUAUUUUGAACCGCAUGGUUCAAAAGUGAAAGACGGUCUUGCUGUCACUUAUAGAUGGAUCCGCGCUGCAUUAGCUAGUUGGUAAGGUAACGGCUUACCAAGGCAACGAUGCAUAGCCGACCUGAGAGGGUGAUCGGCCACACUGGAACGGAGACACGGUCCCGACUCCUACGGGAGGCAGCAGUAGGGAAUCUUCCGCAAUGGGCGAAAGCCUGACGGAGCAACGCCGCGUGAGUGAUGAAGGUCUUCGGAUCGUAAAACUCUGUUAUUAGGGAAGAACAUAUGUGUAAGUAACUGUGCACAUCUUGACGGUACCUAAUCAGAAAGCCACGGCUAACUACGUG